RNAcentral lists this ribosomal RNA (589 nucleotides) under Fusarium sp. NRRL 43435. Its description in RNAcentral is "eukaryotic LSU rRNA". It matches the Rfam family "Eukaryotic large subunit ribosomal RNA", at positions 1 to 600 of the family's 3401-position model. The record is from RNAcentral. RNAcentral also lists the same sequence under 24 other names. Lineage: Eukaryota; Fungi; Ascomycota; Sordariomycetes; Hypocreales; Nectriaceae.
UUGACCUCGAAUCAGGUAGGAAUACCCGCUGAACUUAAGCAUAUCAAUAAGCGGAGGAAAAGAAACCAACAGGGAUUGCCCCAGUAACGGCGAGUGAAGCGGCAACAGCUCAAAUUUGAAAUCUGGCUCUCGGGCCCGAGUUGUAAUUUGUAGAGGAUGCUUUUGGUGAGGUGCCUUCCGAGUUCCCUGGAACGGGACGCCAUAGAGGGUGAGAGCCCCGUCUGGUUGGACACCGAUCCUCUGUAAAGCUCCUUCGACGAGUCGAGUAGUUUGGGAAUGCUGCUCUAAAUGGGAGGUAUAUGUCUUCUAAAGCUAAAUACCGGCCAGAGACCGAUAGCGCACAAGUAGAGUGAUCGAAAGAUGAAAAGAACUUUGAAAAGAGAGUUAAACAGUACGUGAAAUUGUUGAAAGGGAAGCGCUUGUGACCAGACUUGGGCUUGGUUGAUCAUCCGGGGUUCUCCCCGGUGCACUCUUCCGGCCCAGGCCAGCAUCAGUUCGCCCUGGGGGACAAAGGCUUCGGGAAUGUGGCUCUCUCCGGGGAGUGUUAUAGCCCGUUGCGUAAUACCCUGUGGCGGACUGAGGUUCGCGC